This 242-nucleotide ribosomal RNA is filed under the name Eurythenes sp. 2B1 HR-2015. RNAcentral's name for it is "partial 16S ribosomal RNA". The record is from RNAcentral. RNAcentral also lists the same sequence under 1 other name. Lineage: Eukaryota; Metazoa; Arthropoda; Malacostraca; Amphipoda; Lysianassidae.
CUUCUGCUCUACACUGAGCUUUUAAUUCAACAUCGAGGUCGCAAUCAGCCCCAUAGAUACGAUCUCCCUAGGACUAUUACGCUGUUAUCCCUAAAGUAACUCACUCAAAUUAUCCUUAUCUAAAGGACCUAACCCCACUUUACAUGCCUUCUACAACCUCAGAUUUUACAAAAAAACUACCCCAGUUAAACUCUCUAUUUUAUUUUAAACUCAAACUAAUACUAAAAAUAAAGCUUUUAGGG